This 469-nucleotide ribosomal RNA is filed under the name uncultured bacterium. RNAcentral describes it as "bacterial SSU rRNA". It matches the Rfam family "Bacterial small subunit ribosomal RNA", at positions 53 to 518 of the family's 1533-position model. The record is from RNAcentral.
ACAUGCAAGUCGAACGGGGAAACAUGAAAGAAGUUUCGGAUGGAAUUUAUGUUUCUAGUGGCGGACGGGUGAGUAACGCGUAAACAAUCUGCCUUAGAGAGGGGGAUAACAGAUAGAAAUAUUUGCUAAUACCGCAUAAGACCACAGGUAGGCAUCUACUAGGGGUAAAAGGAGCAAUCCGCUUUAAGAUGAGUUUGCGUACUAUUAGCUAGUUGGUGAGGUAACGGCCCACCAAGGCGACGAUGGUUAGCCGGCCUGAGAGGGUGAACGGCCACAUUGGAACUGAGAUACGGUCCAGACUCCUACGGGAGGCAGCAGUGAGGAAUAUUGGGCAAUGGGCGAAAAAGCCUGACCCAGCAACGCCGCGUGAAGGAAGAAGGUUUUAGGAUUGUAAACUUCUGUUGUAAGGGAAAAAGAAAGUGAUGGUACCUUACGAGGAAGCUACGGCAAACUAUGUGCCAGCCGCCGC